Passer domesticus (house sparrow) is the source of this 7696-nucleotide long non-coding RNA. RefSeq lists it as uncharacterized. Lineage: Eukaryota; Metazoa; Chordata; Aves; Passeriformes; Passeridae. The transcript is spliced from 4 exons. The record is from RefSeq and is a predicted model, not a curated record.
UUGCACAUGUUAUAAUUUUAGCAUGCAUUCUGUGAUAGUUAGUAUGUAUGAUGUUUUAGUAAUUUAGAUGAUAAUUGCAAUAAAUUUUAGUAUAUUUUAAAGCAUACUAAAGAAAAAACCUGGUUCCCUUCCCAAAUUUUGCAUACACAGCCUUAUCCAGGAGACCUGGACAAGCAGCUGACAGCAGGAAUUCUCCCAAUCUUACAGGCAGGGGCAGAAAACUGUCAAUAUUCAUUGCAACAAAAUAUGAGGUUCUGGGCCCUAUGUCUUGGCUCCAUUCCCUGUGUUCUCUUGAUGUCCUCGCCCCUUGUUUUCUGGGCUGUUGCUGAGAGAAUUUUUAUAAAACAAGAUGCAGGGUAUGAAAUUUGUCCUUGUAAAAGCCCUUAAGAAAUUGCUCUGAAGCUAAAGAGUCAGAACAAGAUGAGGCGUUUAGCAGAAUGGUUAUCAAAAUUAAAUGUGAAAAGGUUGGAAAAGAGAAUGAACAUUACGAGUCAGUAGUGAAGCCAAAUUCUAGUUAUGAGCCACUUUCUAUGGAAAGCAGGUUAUUCCAUACCUACCUGCCAUGGAUUUCUUGCAUUUGUGCAAAGGUCAGGUAGCAAUCAGUCAGAGGUUGAUUUGUGAACUAGAGGGACAACAUGAACAACGUCAGAACCAAUGUUUCUGGAUUCUCUCACACCCUUAGCCAUUUGUUUGGAAGAUGUUAGAGUGGUAUCUACUCUAACAUCUUCCAAACAAGCAAACAGUCCUCUUCAUAAAGGAGAAUGCUUGCUGCCACUGAACCUCACUUGUGAAAUCCAGGGAUUUACCUUGCUUUUAAGCUGCUUAUAUUUAACUUGAAUUUUCCAGUGCCUUUGUAACCCAUGGAGGAAUGUAGUGCUGAAACACUUUGACCCAUGUUCUCUCAGACAGAGCAGUACCACUGUUAAGAGUGGCUGAAUUGUUAUUUGCUCUGAUCUUUUUAAAUAAAACAAAGGACAGAUCAGUCUUGCAUCCAUUCAUUACCAACACAGUAGGCCACUAUUGUACUCUUGUUUUUCUCUUUUGCUCUCUGUCCUAGAAUUAUGGUCUUUACAUAUAGGGGAUGAAUAAAUGUAUAGAAUUUGCAUUUAGUCUUGAAAAGCUCUACAACAACUGAAAAUAUAUUUAUUGAUUUAUUGACCUGUCUUCCUUAGGGAUAUAUUCCUGCUAUACAGGAAUUCUUUUGAAGAUGAUUUUUCUUCUGAAAGAAAUAACAGAUGGGAAGGGAAUAAAUUGCCUUUGUGGGGAUUUGUGUAUUCUGUAGAUAUUUGUAUUUGAUAAACAAACAGAGGAUUUUAAGUGCAACACCAAACUUUUAGGUGCCUGGAGGCAAAGAGGCUCAGUGGAGCUAUGACACUUCUAUCACUCAGUGUAAUGUUCCAUAACCAGUCAGUUUAUAGUCUAGUUUUAGUUUAUAGUCUAGUUUUAACAGCAAAAUGAACUGCAAGUUUUUAUUUCUAUUUUUAUUUGUUUAUUUGCCUUAUUCCAGUCAUUUAUAUGUCUGCACAACUACAAGAAGUAAAGAUCUUAUGUUUAAAAAACUUUUCCCCCAACAAUGCUCUUCAAUAUCUAAGGACUGCUUGCUCAUAGGAAGGACAGAGUCUGUCCUGCCUGGUUUCUUUACAACUGUGUAAUCCAAGAAGCUAUUGAUUUUAUUUUAUUACUCGGCUUCAGUACUGCCUCACCUCAGUGAUCUCUGCCAGGCAUCAGUCUCUUGCAUUUCAGCUCUGUGCUGCCUCACCUCUUACUCCCUGCAGCCUACGUGAUCUGGAGCAGCAACACAAAUUUUUACAGUUUUGACCCUGAGUCACGCUUGUAUAUUUUCUAUCAGUCUCCUUAGUCUGGCUCAUCUGCAGUUUUCCUUCUGGGCUUUACUGCCUGAACUUCAGGUUUCCAUGGACUAUAAAGAGAGAGUAGAGCAACCAGCUCAUAUUUGCACACCUAGCUUUGCAGAUAUCCAUGGUAGCAUCUGAGUGCAGGUGUGGGUGCAGAGGUGUCUGGCCUCCCAGUAUUGGUGGGGAGGGAUGCAGACACCUGUGGAAGACAAUUCACUUGAUUUAGCUUAGAGGCUUGUCCAGUGAGGAGCUUAACCACCCUCUACUGGUGCCUGGGUGUCUGCACAGACUGCAAAGGGAACUGGGAGUGACUAUGACUUAACUGGGAGUGACUGUGCUUAACUUCCAGAUGCAUAAGCUUUAGUAGGUGGGCUUACUCAAAAACACCUUUAAAGCACAGAUACUAUGUGUCCCCAGAUGCUACUUUACUUUUAUUAACUCUGCUUUUUCUACUGCAAACCCUGGGUAGGAUUUUUAACCUGCUCAGCAGAGUGCUUGCUCUUCAGGAAAUAAACCCAAAGGACAAGAGGACAUGAGCUCAAUGCAUGGACUCUCAGCUGGUUGGCUGAUUUGUGCAGAACAAGGGAACCUGCAUCUUCUAUGAGAUGUGUCAGAAGUUCAAAGUCUCCACAGAGGUCUCCUUGCUGCAGCUGCUGCAAAUAUUGUGAGGAAAUAAGAAAAGAGGGCCCUGACUUGGAGAGCUUUGUGCCAAAGGAGUCUGGCACUGACCAUCCUAUCAAUAACCUUGAUGCCCAGCCAUUAGGAAAUGGUAGUGACAAGGAUACACAGCAAUCAAGGACUCACACAGAGCCCACACAGCUGGUGCAGCUGCAGAGUGCUGUACCUGUUCCUGCACCCAUCAGCAGCUGGACACAGCACCUUGCAGCCUCAGUACCCCCACUUGGGAGCCACUGGACAUGUUCCCCUGCCUUUGCUUUACUUUAAAAGCAAGUAAAGCCUCAGUAGGAGCUUGGUUUUGUCCCAUGUCAACAAUCCUCAUCCAUCGCAGUUUUUGCAACACCUGACAAGUUAGCAAAGACAGUGGAUGAGAGGCAUUCGAAUCACAGAUUAUCCUGAGUUGGAAAGGACCCACAAAGAUCAUUGUGUCCAGCUCCUGGCCCUGCAUAGGACAACCUGAGGAGUCCCACCAUGUGCCUGAGGAUAUUGUCCAAAGGCUUCUUGAACAAGCUUGACAUUGUGACCAAGGGAGCCUGUUCCAGUGCCCAGCCACUCUCUGGGUGAAGAGCCUUCCUGAUAUCCAACCCAAACAUCCCCUGACACGGAUCUGUGUGCAGCCAUUAUUCUGUGGAGAAGAGGAGCAGCAGAAUAAGGCUCUGAAGGCUCACAUCCAUCAAGUGACAUGGAGCCACAUUGCACCAGCAAGAGUCAGAGCUGCAGAAGAACAGCUUCCCAGAAAAUACACGCCAUCCUGGAACUGGCUCCAGCAGGCAAAAGAAGUGGCAGGAAUGGAAGCAUUAACACAAGAACCUGCCCAAGUGAAUUCAGUUGCAAAAUUCUCAUUACUUCAAGGGACUAAGAUACCAUACAUUGCACUUGGGUAUGGGACCUUGUCUUCUUAAGUGAUCAGCAUUUGCUUUGAAUAGCCCAUUAUGGGAUAAAUUAAUCCUAAAAAUCUGCUGGCUCCCAUAUCUUGCUGUAACUGCUUGCUUAGAUCUUCCAGCUUUACAUUGAAGACGAUGGUAAAAAGCAGCUAAUAGGAAAGGAAGGAGGCUUUCUUUCUCUUCCCAGUUACAGUUCAGCUUAUUUCACUCCUUAUUUUCCAUCUCUAUUGAUGUCUAAGCACAUAUGGAAGUAGGGAACAUUUAGAAAACAGCAAAUUGGUCCUUGCUCCAACCACCUCUGCCUACACAGCAGCAGAGGUGAUAAUGUGUCCCAGGAUGGGAACUUAAUGGGCUUGUCUGGUGGAAUAUUACAUUUUGGAGACAGAGAAGUGAGAACAAGAGGUUUCAUGUGGUUAAUUGCUUAAGUAAUGUGAAAACUAUGUGAGUUUGAAAACAGCCUGAAUGAGAAAAUGUGCAGCCAAUGAAAGUAAAUUACUCACUUUGCUGCUCUCACAUCAUGGUGAAAAGCUGCCAGGUAUUUGGUGCUAGCAAAAGUAACAGUGUAUUAAACUUUGUUGCAGUGGUUAUUAUCACUAAAACCAGGUCUGUGUAACCCAACAUUUACUGUUGUAUUCUGAAUUCUUGCAAACAAAGUGUUUGGCUGACUGGAGAACAGAUUCAUAUUUAUCUUGUAUUUAUGUAUUUAUCAUAUAAUGCAGAUAUCUUUCUGGGAAAUGAAGGUUGAAAUAUCUCUAGACAUAAAUGACUGGGAAUUUUUCUUUCAGCUUCAGUGAAGAAAUCCAAAGACGUUAGGAGAUGAAGAAAAUUAGCAUAAUCAGCUCAUGUUGUUUAAUCCCCCUAGUCCAACCCAGGAAUGUUCUCUAUGUGCUACUGGUUAACACUAUUAUCCCAGCCAGGUUUAGAUGACCUGUAAUUCCCCACUCUGCUGCCUUUUGCCACUGUUAGAGAGCUCCCAAUGUGCAUCUUGGAUCUCACAGAAGGACAUACUGCACACAAUAUAUUUUAAAAGAGUAGUUAUAUUAAAUAUAAUGAGAAAGAGCACAAGGAAAUAUGGGAGCUACAAAAGAAAAUGCUUUCAAAUCUGAUUAUAUUAUAUGGUAUAAUACAUGUAUAUUUUUGAUUCCUUCCUUUAAAAGAGCUGUUAAGAUUUGAUAGUGACUGGAAUGACAAAUGCAACAAGAGAAGGAGGGCUUGUAGUAGGAGAUUUUUCAGAAAACAGAGAAAUCUAUUGAAAGCUGUGGAGUUUCCACUGGACAGCACAAGCAUUGAGGGCUCAGAACUGCCACAGACUGAAGCCACUCACUCCCCUUUGGCCUGUCACUGGAUGCCCUUUCAAGAAGUCCCUGUGCAUCUUUUCUGCAAUUCCCUUCAAGUACUGGAAAGCCACAAUCAGGCCACCCCAAAGCCUUCUUUUUUUCAUACUGAACAAAACCAACUCCCUCAAGGUUUCCACACAGGAGAGGUGCUCCAUCCCUUGGAUCAUCUUGGUUGCCUCCUCUGAACUCGCUCCAACAGGUCCCUGUCAUUCCUGUGUUGCUGACACCAGAGUUUCAUCAUGCAGAUAAGAAAUCAAAAUCAAUCCUUCACACAAACAAGUUAUUACAAUUUGGUUUGCAACAUGUUAACUAUAAGUAAAUCUCUUUCUGCUUUGUUAGCAUCUUUUAAGACAUGCUACCUAGGCCCAUGGCAUUUAGCUGUAGAGAAGGAGUAAAACUGAAACUUAAUAACUAAUCUUGAAUUUUUGUAGGGAAAUUCUCAAUAUAUUCAGAAAUCCCUAGAUCAAUAACUAUAUUUACAGGUUUUAUCUUAGUUUUUAAAAUGCUAUUUUGUUUUGCUUUUUUCUCUUCAGAAGAAGAUACAGAUAUAAACUACUCUCGGGUAAAGGCUACUGGUGUCUUUAAUAAUAUUAAAAAUAAUCACAUGAAUGUAAAUAAUUUCUGUUGAACUUUAAGCAGCAAUAUGUUUGCUCAUCUUUCAAUAUUUUGCCAUUACUGCAUUGGCAGUGCCCCAUAUGCAAGUCUGUCUACCCUGCACACAAGAGGUGCAGGAGAGCUGUGCAUCUUUGUGCCUGGGGGGGCCCUUUGCUGUCCCAGCAGUGCCCACACCAACAGGAUGGUGCAGGAUGCUGCAGCAGCUGGGCAGGGCUGGGGCACAGGCUGUUCUCUGCAGGAGGCACAGAGCUGCUGCACCAAGGCACAGCUGCAGCUCGAUCCACCAAAGCCCACACUAAUAAAACAUUGAUAUUUGGCUUUUGAAAAAUGCAGAUCAGUCUAUUUAAUGCAAGAAGAUCAACCUAGGAGAAGAAAAUCCAUAUUAGGUUCCUUUCAUGAGUCUUUGGGUUUUGUUUCAGUCCAAAAUACAGAUAUCCUUAGUGUCUGUAAUGAGAAACUUAGAACAAAAGGAAAGAUAGAUUGUACAGAGCUUUAUUCUUAUAGGAGGAAUGCAAUACGGUAUCAGAGAAUCCACUGCAAAAGCCUCCGGAAAGGAGAAAUUAAAUUUGGGAAUAGUUAAUGGAUUGCUACACACUUUGCAAACUAAAACAGAGUUUUAACAUGCUCAUUUGCACUGUUUUUCUUAGGAGACAACUGUUUUCAUUCUUACAAAAAUUACUGUCACUGAAUCAGGCUAAAUUUAGACAGGGUGUUUCAAGGCAAAGAUAUUGUGUGUAUUUAGUUUUUCAGGACCUUGUCAUUAGGAAAAAAAAAAAAAAAGCUAAUCCUCUUAAAAUCUUCCCUGCAUUUUUAUUCUUUUUAAUUAUCAAAAUGUGAUUUUUGCAAGACCAUGUGAUUUUUCACUAUCUGAUGUAAGCACUUGCAUUAAUCCAAUAAAGCCUUUGCCUCAAAGGAAUCAUAAGAGCAUUUAAACAAAUGGGGGAGUUUCAAGAAAUCUGAAGUUGUUUUGUUAAAAAGUGGGUUUAGAUUUGGUCAUAUUAGGUCAUACAUAGGCACAGCCCCUAGUAUGGUCUCAGCAGAAUGACAUAGAAAAUAGGCUGUUCCACCAUUCCAGAAGAUACCAAAAUUCCCUUAUGUCCAGUUUAUUCAAGGCAUGUGACUUAUACAGCUGAUAAUUUGCAUUUAUGCAGUUCCUCUUGUUCUAAAAAUGUCAGAUGAAAAAAUACUAAGUUUUUGAAAAAAAAACGCAUUAAUUUUUACCACUCCAAACCAUCAAAAAUACCUUAACAAUCAUUUUUACAUGACAGAGUAAAACCCAACCUUCUGCCAUAUACUGUAAAGAACAUCAAAGAAUUCCAGUGACUUGUUAUUGAAAUAGACUGAUCUGCAUCUGUCUGACUCAGCCUCAUACAUGAGGUGUGUAUUAAGUUAUUCUGCAAAUAUUUUUUAAUAUUGCAUUCUGAUUUAUUACGAAACAGCUCCCUAGGGUUGUUCUUUUGUGCUGGCGUGUCCUGGGUGUGGGUCUGACACCUGACACCAAGUCAGGGCAGGUACACCCAGUCCCAGUGACACUCUGGGAACAACCUUCAUGCAGAGCCAGGACUAUUCCCCCUUAACAAUUCAUCUAUACAGACAAAUAAAGCAGCUUUCUUCUUUAUUUGUACAUUAGUUAUGAAUGAGAAAUUGAAGAAUUCCUGAACCAAGGAAACUUUUUUUGAUGUAUUAAUAGAAAUGUACUGGGAAUAGUAUUUAACACCCAAAUAUACAAAGAUAUUGAGAUGCAUUUUACUCUAAAAAUUAUAUGCCAAAUUUUCCUGCACUUGUGUCUAUGACUGAAGGGAUUUCAGUAGAGGUUUGCUUGUGUAACCACGCUGAAUUUGGUUUAUUAUUCUAUAUUUGAAGCUAGGCAGUGCAAAUUGCAAAAUGAAAUAUAUCCAGUAGAUGUCAUCAUCCUGCAUCCCAUGUGCCUGAUAAUCCAGUUUAGAUUUACCUUUUUUUAACUGAACUGAAAUCAGAAGUAGAAGUCCUAACAGAAAUAAGUUUUCUGAAAAACUUGUGUAAAACAUACUCAUUUGAUGUGAUGCACCUUACUAACACUAGGAUUUCUGGAAUGUUUACAACCUGGAAGUGUUCAUGCACAAAGUAAAUUGGAGAUAUCCAUGACUGCACUCACAUGCUCAAAUAACAUCUGUAAAAUAUGCCAGUAAAUGCAUUUAUUUAAACCUGAAAAUCCAUUUAAUGGGUUCCAUUUAAUCCAAAUGUCCUGAAAGCAAUAUAAAUAUGUACUACAGCAUCAUUUCUGAUCCUGAAGCCUGUACUGCAAAAAUAGAUUUAAGAUCCUCUUUACAGAUGAGAAUAUUAAACGAAG